CACUCCUGCGGGAGGCAGCAGUGGGGAAUAUUGCACAAUGGGCGCAAGCCUGAUGCAGCCAUGCCGCGUGUAUGAAGAAGGCCUUCGGGUUGUAAAGUACUUUCAGCGGGGAGGAAGGCAAUACGGUUAAUAACCGUGUUGAUUGACGUUACCCGCAGAAGAAGCACCGGCUAACUCCGUGCCAGCAGCCGCGGUAAUACGGAGGGUGCAAGCGUUAAUCGGAAUUACUGGGCGUAAAGCGCACGCAGGCGGUCUGUCAAGUCGGAUGUGAAAUCCCCGGGCUCAACCUGGGAACUGCAUUCGAAACUGGCAGGCUUGAGUCUUGUAGAGGGGGGUAGAAUUCCAGGUGUAGCGGUGAAAUGCGUAGAGAUCUGGAGGAAUACCGGUGGCGAAGGCGGCCCCCUGGACAAAGACUGACGCUCAGGUGCGAAAGCGUGGGGAGCAAACAGGAUUAGAUACCCUUGUAGUCCCAUG
RNAcentral lists this ribosomal RNA (474 nucleotides) under uncultured organism. Its description in RNAcentral is "partial 16S ribosomal RNA". It matches the Rfam family "Bacterial small subunit ribosomal RNA", at positions 334 to 799 of the family's 1533-position model. The record is from RNAcentral.